AGCAGCCGCGGUAAUUCCAGCUCCAAUAGCGUAUAUUAAAGUUGUUGCAGUUAAAAAGCUCGUAGUUGAAUUUCGGGAUUGACACAUCGGUCGUGCCUUAAGGGGUAUGAACUGGUGUAGUCAAUUUCUCACCUUCUGGAGAACCGCGAUGCCCUUAAUUGGGUGUCGCGGGGAACCAGGACCUUUACUUUGAAAAAAUUAGAGUGUUUAAAGCAGGCAUUUUGCUUGAAUACAUUAGCAUGGAAUAAUAAAAUAGGACGGCAUGAUUCUAUUUUGUUGGUUUCUAGGAUCACCGUAAUGAUUAAUAGGGAUAGUUGGGGGCAUUAGUAUUCAAUUGUCAGAGGUGAAAUUCUUGGAUUUAUUGAAGACUAACUACUGCGAAAGCAUUUGCCAAGGAUGUUUUCAUUAAUCAAGAACGAAAGUUAGGGGAUCGAAGACGAUCAGAUACCGUCGUAGUCUUAACCAUAAACUAUGCCGACUAGGAAUCAGACGAUGUUAAUUUUUAAUGACUUCGUUGGCA
RNAcentral lists this unclassified non-coding RNA (520 nucleotides) under uncultured Entrophospora. RNAcentral's name for it is "SSU rRNA". It matches the Rfam family "Eukaryotic small subunit ribosomal RNA", at positions 569 to 1085 of the family's 1831-position model. Lineage: Eukaryota; Fungi; Glomeromycota; Glomeromycetes; Entrophosporales; Entrophosporaceae. The record is from RNAcentral.